This 323-nucleotide ribosomal RNA is filed under the name uncultured eukaryote. RNAcentral describes it as "partial 18S ribosomal RNA". It matches the Rfam family "Eukaryotic small subunit ribosomal RNA", at positions 1470 to 1796 of the family's 1831-position model. The record is from RNAcentral.
CCCUUAGAUGUUCUGGGCCGCACGCGUGCUACACUGAGUGGAUCAGCGGGUCAGGUUGCGCGAAAGCGUUUCCUAAUCUUUAAAUCCGCUCGUGAUGGGGAUUGACGGUUGCAAUUUUCUGUCAUGAACGAGGAAUACCUUGUAAGCGCGGGUCAUCAUCCCGCGCUGAAUACGUCCCUGCCCUUUGUACACACCGCCCGUCGCUCCUACCGAUUGAAUGUGUUGGUGAGGAGCUCGGAUUGGCAGCAGUUGGUGGUUCGCCACCGGCUAUUGCUGAGAAGUCCUCCAAACCGCCCCAUUUAGAGGAAGGAGAAGUCGUAACA